UAAACGACUCUCGGCAACGGAUAUCUCGGCUCUCGCAUCGAUGAAGAACGUAGCGAAAUGCGAUACUUGGUGUGAAUUGCAGAAUCCCGUGAACCAUCGAGUUUUUGAACGCAAGUUGCGCCCCAAGCCGUCAGGCCGAGGGCACGUCUGCCUGGGUGUCACGC
RNAcentral lists this ribosomal RNA (164 nucleotides) under Corynandra viscosa (Asian spiderflower). RNAcentral describes it as "5.8S ribosomal RNA". It matches the Rfam family "5.8S ribosomal RNA". Rfam says of the family: 5.8S ribosomal RNA (5.8S rRNA) is a component of the large subunit of the eukaryotic ribosome. Lineage: Eukaryota; Viridiplantae; Streptophyta; Magnoliopsida; Brassicales; Cleomaceae. The record is from RNAcentral.